GAACCUUUGAAUUAUUUCUCAAGGUGACCUCGGAUCAGGUAGGGAUACCCGCUGAACUUAAGCAUAUCAAUA
RNAcentral lists this ribosomal RNA (72 nucleotides) under Neofusicoccum parvum. Its description in RNAcentral is "partial 28S ribosomal RNA". The record is from RNAcentral. Lineage: Eukaryota; Fungi; Ascomycota; Dothideomycetes; Botryosphaeriales; Botryosphaeriaceae.